Molecule: ribosomal RNA, 1448 nt
Filed under: uncultured organism
Description: 16S ribosomal RNA
Rfam family: Bacterial small subunit ribosomal RNA
Source: RNAcentral
CGAACGCUGGCGGCGUGCUUAACACAUGCAAGUCGAACGGAAAGGCCCUGCUUUUGUGGGGUGCUCGAGUGGCGAACGGGUGAGUAACACGUGAGUAACCUGCCCUUGACUUUGGGAUAACUUCAGGAAACUGGGGCUAAUACCGGAUAGGAGCUCCUGCUGCAUGGUGGGGGUUGGAAAGUUUCGGCGGUUGGGGAUGGACUCGCGGCUUAUCAGCUUGUUGGUGGGGUAGUGGCUUACCAAGGCUUUGACGGGUAGCCGGCCUGAGAGGGUGACCGGCCACAUUGGGACUGAGAUACGGCCCAGACUCCUACGGGAGGCAGCAGUGGGGAAUAUUGCACAAUGGGCGGAAGCCUGAUGCAGCAACGCCGCGUGCGGGAUGACGGCCUUCGGGUUGUAAACCGCUUUCGCCUGUGACGAAGCGUGAGUGACGGUAAUGGGUAAAGAAGCACCGGCUAACUACGUGCCAGCAGCCGCGGUGAUACGUAGGGUGCGAGCGUUGUCCGGAUUUAUUGGGCGUAAAGGGCUCGUAGGUGGUUGAUCGCGUCGGAAGUGUAAUCUUGGGGCUUAACCCUGAGCGUGCUUUCGAUACGGGUUGACUUGAGGAAGGUAGGGGAGAAUGGAAUUCCUGGUGGAGCGGUGGAAUGCGCAGAUAUCAGGAGGAACACCAGUGGCGAAGGCGGUUCUCCGGGCCUUUCCUGACGCUGAGGAGCGAAAGCGUGGGGAGCGAACAGGCUUAGAUACCCUGGUAGUCCACGCUGUAAACGGUGGGUACUAGGUGUGGGGUCCAUUCCACGGGUUCCGUGCCGUAGCUAACGCUUUAAGUACCCCGCCUGGGGAGUACGGCCGCAAGGCUAAAACUCAAAGGAAUUGACGGGGCCCCGCACAAGCGGCGGAGCAUGCGGAUUAAUUCGAUGCAACGCGUAGAACCUUACCUGGGUUUGACAUGGAUCGGGAGUGCUCAGAGAUGGGUGUGCCUCUUUUGGGGUCGGUUCACAGGUGGUGCAUGGCUGUCGUCAGCUCGUGUCGUGAGAUGUUGGGUUAAGUCCCGCAACGAGCGCAACCCUUGUUCACUGUUGCCAGCACGUUAUGGUGGGGACUCAGUGGAGACCGCCGGGGUCAACUCGGAGGAAGGUGGGGAUGACGUCAAGUCAUCAUGCCCCUUAUGUCCAGGGCUUCACGCAUGCUACAAUGGCUGGUACAGAGAGUGGCGAGCCUGUGAGGGUGAGCGAAUCUCGGAAAGCCGGUCUCAGUUCGGAUUGGGGUCUGCAACUCGACCUCAUGAAGUCGGAGUCGCUAGUAAUCGCAGAUCAGCAACGCUGCGGUGAAUACGUUCCCGGGGCUUGUACACACCGCCCGUCAAGUCAUGAAAGUUGGUAACACCCGAAGCCGGUGGCCUAACCGUUGUGGGGGAGCCGUCGAAGGUGGGACUGGUGAUUAGGACUAAG